Daphnia pulicaria is the source of this 245-nucleotide long non-coding RNA. RefSeq lists it as uncharacterized. The record is from RefSeq and is a predicted model, not a curated record. Lineage: Eukaryota; Metazoa; Arthropoda; Branchiopoda; Diplostraca; Daphniidae. The transcript has 2 exons.
GCAUUUCUCGUAACACAACAUAGAUGGCUGCACUAGUUUUUGGCAAUUAUUGAUUGUAAUCAACAAUUUAAUUGCAUUUCAAUGGCAGUAAUCGAAUUGCAAUAGCUGUUACAGCAGACGAUAAUACAGAGACAUGUGACAGGAUGACAGCAUCGUCUCUAUUGAAUAUGACCAGCAUGACCCAGGAUCGAAGAAAAAGCGUAGAGUACCGCCGUUGAUUGUUGGACCAUCUCUAGCCUGUCUUA